RNAcentral lists this transfer RNA (64 nucleotides) under Dipodomys ordii (Ord's kangaroo rat). It matches the Rfam family "tRNA". Rfam says of the family: Transfer RNA (tRNA) molecules are approximately 80 nucleotides in length. Their secondary structure includes four short double-helical elements and three loops (D, anti-codon, and T loops). The record is from Rfam by way of RNAcentral. Lineage: Eukaryota; Metazoa; Chordata; Mammalia; Rodentia; Heteromyidae.
GGUGGCUUAGUGUUAGAGUGCUUGCCUUGCAUGCAUGAGGCCCUGGGUUCAAUUUUCAGCACCA